Molecule: ribosomal RNA, 453 nt
Filed under: uncultured bacterium
Lineage: Bacteria
Description: bacterial SSU rRNA
Rfam family: Bacterial small subunit ribosomal RNA
Source: RNAcentral
UACGGGAGGCAGCAGUGGGGAAUAUUGCACAAUGGGCGCAAGCCUGAUGCAGCCAUGCCGCGUGUAUGAAAAAGGCCUUCGGGUUGUAAAGUACUUUCAGUCGUGAGGAAGGUGUUAAGGUUAAUAACCUUAGCAAUUGACGUUAGCGACAGAAGAAGCACCGGCUAACUCCGUGCCAGCAGCCGCGGUAAUACGGAGGGUGCGAGCGUUAAUCGGAAUUACUGGGCGUAAAGGGCACGCAGGCGGUUAAUUAAGUUGGAUGUGAAAUCCCCGGGCUUAACCUGGGAAUGGCAUUCAAGACUGGUUAGCUAGAGUCUUGUAGAGGGGGUAGAAUUCCAUGUGUAGCGGUGAAAUGCGUAGAGAUGUGGAGGAAUACCGGUGGCGAAGGCGGCCCCUGGACAAAGACUGACGCUCAUGUGCGAAAGCGUGGGGAGCAAACGAGGAUUAGAUACC